AGUGAACGCUGGCGGUAGGCCUAACACAUGCAAGUCGAACGGCAGCACAGUAAGAGCUUGCUCUUACGGGUGGCGAGUGGCGGACGGGUGAGGAAUACAUCGGAAUCUACUUUUUCGUGGGGGAUAACGUAGGGAAACUUACGCUAAUACCGCAUACGACCUACGGGUGAAAGCAGGGGAUCUUCGGACCUUGCGCGAUUGAAUGAGCCGAUGUCGGAUUAGCUAGUUGGCGGGGUAAAGGCCCACCAAGGCGACGAUCCGUAGCUGGUCUGAGAGGAUGAUCAGCCACACUGGAACUGCGACACGGUCCAGACUCCUACGGGAGGCAGCAGUGGGGAAUAUUGGACGAUGGGCGCAAGCCUGAUCCAGCCAUACCGCGUGGGUGAAGAAGGCCUUCGGGUUGUAAAGCCCUUUUGUUGGGAAAGAAAAGCAGCAGGUUAAUACCCCGCUGUUCUGACGGUACCCAAAGAAUAAGCACCGGCUAACUUCGUG
Molecule: ribosomal RNA, 492 nt
Filed under: uncultured bacterium
Lineage: Bacteria
Description: partial 16S ribosomal RNA
Rfam family: Bacterial small subunit ribosomal RNA
Source: RNAcentral